GAUGAACGCUGGCGGCGUGCCUAAUACAUGCAAGUCGAGCGAACGGACGAGAAGCUUGCUUCUCUGAUGUUUGCGGCGGACGGGUGAGUAAUACGUGGAUAACCUACCUAUAUGACUGGGAUAACUUCGGGAUACCGUAGCUAAUACCGGAUUAUAUUUUGAACCGCAUGGUUCCAAAGUGAAAGACGGUCUUGCUGUCACUUAUACAUGGAUCCGCGCUGCAUUAGCUAGUUGGUAAGGUAACGGCUUACCAAGGCAACGGUGCGUAGCCGACCUGAGAGGGUGAUUGGCCACACUGUGACCAGGACACGGUGCAGACGUCAGCGGGUGGCACAAGUACGCAAUAUUCCGCAAUUGGCUAAAGCCUGACGGGGCAACGCCGCGUGACUGAACACGGUCUUCGGAUCGUAAAACUCUGUUAUUAGGGAAGACCAUAUGUGUAAGUAACUGUGCACUUCUUGACGGUACCUAAUCAGCAAACCACGGCUAACUACGUG
Molecule: ribosomal RNA, 497 nt
Filed under: uncultured bacterium
Lineage: Bacteria
Description: partial 16S ribosomal RNA
Rfam family: Bacterial small subunit ribosomal RNA
Source: RNAcentral